GUGGUUUGGCUCUGGUCAGACUGCAGGUCAUAUCUGCUGCGGCAUACAUGCCUGUUUGCACAAGCUGCUUGUUCUCUGGUACUCUCUCUUACAUAACCCUCGAGAGAAGGCCAAGCAUCCAUCAAAGGGGUGGAAUGAGAGAAGAUAAAGAAAGGGAGAGAGAAAUGUGGGAAGGUACUUGUCACAGAUCUUAGUGUCCUGGUGGACAGUGUUGUGUGAUGGAGGACUCUGACCUGACGCCGACACUCCUGACCUCAAAGUGUGCAGUCUGAGGGCAGUCUGUGAAACCCCAGUGCAUGUUUGCAUUCCUGAAACGGUCUGUAGCAGACGGUGAAGGCUGGAUGAAGAAUGGGAAUGUUGCUUUAAGGUUUGUGGGUUCGGAGGUUAUCGCACAAGCUGCCUACACAGGCUCUCCAACAGUCCAUAUUGAGGUGAUACCCAUACCGCUUGAGAUUCAGUAGCAUAAGCCAAAAGACACUGUAUGUUAUAAAGAUUUUACCACAAUAAGAGGUGUCUUUAAGGCCCAGUAUACUGAUGGUGAAGCUCUUUUUUGAUCUUUGCUUAGAGGUGAAAAGAAUUGUGAAGUAUCUGAGCAGGAGUAUACUGUUAACGAACAUCAUGGUGCCACCCACACCACUGAGAGUGCCGU
This is a long non-coding RNA of Cyprinus carpio carpio, 649 nucleotides long. NCBI's taxonomy places the organism in Eukaryota, Metazoa, Chordata, Actinopteri, Cypriniformes, Cyprinidae. The record is from Ensembl.